This 460-nucleotide ribosomal RNA is filed under the name uncultured bacterium. Its description in RNAcentral is "bacterial SSU rRNA". It matches the Rfam family "Bacterial small subunit ribosomal RNA", at positions 338 to 795 of the family's 1533-position model. The record is from RNAcentral.
CCUACGGGUGGCACCAGUGAGGAAUAUUGGUCAAUGGUCGCAAGACUGAACCAGCCAUGCCGCGUGCAGGAUGACGGUCCUAUGGAUUGUAAACUGCUUUUGUACGGGAAGAAACACUCCUACGUGUAGGGGCUUGACGGUACCGUAAGAAUAAGGAUCGGCUAACUCCGUGCCAGCAGCCGCGGUAAUACGGAGGAUCCGAGCGUUAUCCGGAAUCAUUGGGUUUAAAGGGUCCGUAGGCGGCCCUGUAAGUCAGCGGUGAAAUCUCCCGGCUCAACCGGGAAACUGCCGUUGAUACUGCAGGGCUUGAAUUGCCGGGAAGUAACUAGAAUAUGUAGUGUAGCGGUGAAAUGCUUAGAUAUUACAUGGAAUACCGAUUGCGAAGGCAGGUUACUACCGGCGUAUUGACGCUGAUGGACGAAAGCGUGGGGAGCGAACAGGAUUAGAUACCCUAGUAGUC